UGGGGAAUUUUGCGCAAUGGGGGAAACCCUGACGCAGCAACGCCGCGUGAGUGAUGAAGGCCUUCGGGUCGUAAAGCUCUGUCAGAGGGAAAGAAAUGCUGGGUGGCUAAUAUCCAUUGCGCUUGACGGUACCCUCAAAG
Molecule: ribosomal RNA, 140 nt
Filed under: uncultured Geobacter sp.
Lineage: Bacteria; Pseudomonadati; Thermodesulfobacteriota; Desulfuromonadia; Geobacterales; Geobacteraceae
Description: partial 16S ribosomal RNA
Rfam family: Bacterial small subunit ribosomal RNA
Source: RNAcentral